UACGUAGGAGGCGAGCGUUGUCCGGAGUUACUGGGCGUAAAGCGCACGCAGGCGGUCGCAUUAGUCUGGGGUGACAGUUCCCGGCUUAUCCGGAAAAGGACUCUGGAAACUGUGCGACUUGAGGGCUUCAGAGGGAUGUGGAAUUCCAGGUGGAGUGGUGAAAUGCGCAGAUAUCAGGAGGAACACCGGUGGCGAAGGCGGGUCUCUGGGCCGAUACUGACGCUGAGGAGCGAAAGCGUGGGGAGCGAACAGG
RNAcentral lists this ribosomal RNA (253 nucleotides) under uncultured bacterium. RNAcentral describes it as "partial 16S ribosomal RNA". It matches the Rfam family "Bacterial small subunit ribosomal RNA", at positions 524 to 776 of the family's 1533-position model. The record is from RNAcentral.